Molecule: non-coding RNA, 2379 nt
Organism: Monodelphis domestica (gray short-tailed opossum)
Lineage: Eukaryota; Metazoa; Chordata; Mammalia; Didelphimorphia; Didelphidae
Source: RefSeq, a predicted model, not a curated record
AUUCAUUGAUUAAUUGUUAGAAAUAAUAUACUUGAACUCUGGUAAGAGUCUGAGAUUUGAAUGGAAUUUUAAAUAGAAUGUGGAUGAUAUCAUCAAGGGAGAAUGUGGAGAAAGAGCCAAGGCUCUUUUAUGGCCAAGUUCAGAACUUUGGGGGAUGUCUAUGAUUAAGGAGUGUAAAAAGGAUGAGAUGCCAAAAAUGGGAACUGAAAUGUAUCAGGCAGAGAGGCAAGAGGAGAAUCAGAUGAGAGUAAAGUCUCAGAAGUCAAAUAAAAGAAGAAUAUGAAGGAGAGCUGAUUACCCUCCUUUAGCUAAACCAUUUCCCAAGUUAUUCUACAUCUGAAUUCCUCUGCCUAUCAAUUGGGAAGGAUAGUACAAGGCAUGACUAAACAUCUACAGUAGCAUCAAGAGAUCUCCCACAUAGCCUGUUCUCCAUCAUGACCAUCCUCCUGCUUCUCAAUUUCCUGACUGAAAUGUAGUGUCCAGAAUGGAAAAUAAGACUGAAGUUGAGGUCUGACUAUGGCAGAAUAUAACUGGACUUUCAUCUUGUUCAUUUCCACAAUGUCAUAUAUUAUGCUUUUGGCAUUAAAAAAAGACUCUUCAACAAAAUCCACCAGUUUCUGGCAGAAGAUUUGGAUGCCCAGUUCUCUGCUAUGGAUAUUAUUCAUUAGUCAGCACACUCUUUUCCUCAGCCUUCCUUCCCAAAAUGAUUCAAUGAUGCAUAAAGAAUUCACAUCAUGUUUGAGGCUAAUGGAGUAAAAUUGAGUUGUCAAUCUGUGAGACAGGAUAAGGAGACUGGGACCUGGAGAGUUGAGUGAUCUAUGAAAGGCUACAUAUGUUAAGUGACUUAUAUACCUUAAGUGACAUGGUUGGUACUUGAAUACAGAUCUUGUGACUCCAGAUCUACUUUCUCUCCUCAGUACCCUGUGUUGACACACAAUAGACCUGCAUCUGGGAACAAGUGAAGCAAUCAGGCUGGAAGCUCAAGUGACUGGCCCAUGGUCCAACAGCAAAUAAAUGAAGAGACCUGAUUUGGGGAUUUUGCCUAUAAAAAGGGAGCUGGGAUGGCAUCAGCCAAAAUAUAAUGGCUUCACACCCUACCUGCAGACCGGAGUAAGGAACUGGGUAGCCUACAACCAUAUUUAUAGAACCAAAGAAUCUGUUAGAGGAUUUCAAAGGUCAUCUUUCUCACCUUUUACCCCUUCCAUUCCAGAUAACUAGCCUCCAAUCUAUGCUGACAGGCAAUGUAAUAGGGUCAUUUCCCCAUAGCUUGCUUUCCUCCAAUCAACAACAACCAUACCUUAGCCGGGCUUCACAGGAUAUAAGAUCACCACUGUACAAAACUAUGAUCUUCCCAACAAAUCACUCCAAUGAAAAGUGCAACUUGACAACGAUUUCCCAUAACUAUCCAUCAUAUAUUCUAUAUUCCAGCCAACUUUAGCGACUGGAUGGUCCCCUGUAUUUGAAAUUCUAUCUCCUGUCUUCAUAUUUUUGUGUAAACAGUUUCUCCCCAAACUUCCCUAUCACUGACUCCUGGAAUACCUAAGUCCCUUUAAAGGUUAGCUUAAAUGAUACUUUGUAUUAGGACUUUUCAUGACUCCAUCAGCUAUUAGUACAGCUCUCUCCCCACUUACUUUGUAUAUAUUUUAUAUUGACCCAUCUCUGUGCAUGUAGUCUCCCCUAAUGAAAAAAAUAAGGUACUUUGGGGGCAGCAACUGUCCCUUUUUUUCUUUGUUUCCCUAGUACCUAAUCCAGUGCCUAGCACAAAAUGACUGUUGAAUUGAAUUAAACUGAUAAGGCAUAUUUAAUAAAACAGACUCAACUUUCUGCUAUGAGGCAGUCAAUUUCAUAUAACUCUAAAAAGAGCUGGAGUAAAGUAGAAAGAACAUUAAAAUAAUAUCUACCAGAAACCUUGAUUCUAACUCCAGGUCUGCUACUAACUAGUUGUGUGACCUAGGGCAAACUACUUCAUCUCUCUUGGCCUGACUGUUUCUUCAAUUUUAAUAUGAAGGUAUUGGACCCGAUGAUGUCUAAGAUCCCUUCCAGCUCAAAAUGCUUUGAUUCUAUAAUUGUAUAGAAAAGUGAUAGCCUGGACAAGAAACAGUGACUUAUGCUAAACUAUAUAAUGGUUACAUGGAUAGGAGCAAUGAUCUAAGGGCGCUAACUCAAAAUCUGCCCUCCACAAAAAUCUACACCUCCCCCCUUUUUUAAUCAAAAAGUAAAUAUAGAUUGAAGUGAAUUUGGAUUAGAGGCCAAAAGAGGUGACUAGGGGUAUGAAGUUAAUUCUUGGAUUCUUCAAUGAAAGUUGACUCUAGAUUCUUGGACAUUCUAUUAUCCAGAUGAUGCUCAGAAAGUGUGAUUUGGGCCAGCUAUGGUCAUUAA